RNAcentral lists this ribosomal RNA (253 nucleotides) under uncultured bacterium. RNAcentral's name for it is "partial 16S ribosomal RNA". It matches the Rfam family "Bacterial small subunit ribosomal RNA", at positions 524 to 776 of the family's 1533-position model. The record is from RNAcentral.
UACGGGGGGGGCAAGCGUUGUUCGGAAUUACUGGGCGUAAAGGGCUCGUAGGUGGCCAACUAAGUCAGACGUGAAAUCCCUCGGCUUAACCGGGGAACUGCGUCUGAUACUGGAUGGCUUGAGUUCGGGAGAGGGAUGCGGAAUUCCAGGUGUAGCGGUGAAAUGCGUAGAUAUCUGGAGGAACACCGGUGGCGAGGGCGGCAUCCUGGACCGACACUGACGCUGAGGAGCGAAAGCCAGGGGAGCAAACGGG